This 460-nucleotide ribosomal RNA is filed under the name uncultured bacterium. RNAcentral's name for it is "partial 16S ribosomal RNA". It matches the Rfam family "Bacterial small subunit ribosomal RNA", at positions 338 to 795 of the family's 1533-position model. The record is from RNAcentral.
CCUACGGGUGGCAGCAGUGAGGAAUAUUGGUCAAUGGGCGCGAGCCUGAACCAGCCAAGUAGCGUGAAGGAUGACUGCCCUACGGGUUGUAAACUUCUUUUAUAAAGGAAUAAAGUGAGGCACGGGUGCCUUUUUUUAUGUAAUUUAUGAAUAAGGAUCGGCUAACUCAGUGCCAGCAGCCGCGGUAAUACGGAGGAGCCGAGCGUUAUCCGGCGUUAUUGGGUUUAAGGGGAGCGUAGAUGGGUUGUUAAGUCAGUUGUGAAAGUUUGCGGCUCAACCGUAAAAGUGCAAUUGUUACUGGCAGCCUUGAGUACAGUUGAGGUAGGCGGAAUUCGUGGUGUAGCGGUGAAAUGCUUAGAUAUCACGAAGAACUCCGAUUGCGAAGGCAGCCUACUAAACUGCCACUGACAUUGAUGCUCGAAAGUGUGGGUAUCAAACAGGAUUAGAUACCCCGGUAGUC